UACUUAUAAAAGAGUUUGAGAGAUGGAAGGAGGUGGAAAAAAGAGAGUAAACAAUAGGAGGAGAAGAAAAAAAUAAGGUAGAAAAGAGAACAGUAUAUACUCGAUAUACACUAUGGAUACAGCAGUAUACACGGACAGAAUUUUGGAGUUUCAGCAGUAUACACUCGAUAUACACUCUGGUUACAGCAGUAUACACGGACAGAAUUUAAUUUUUGAGAGUUGAAGAGAGUUCAAAGUUAGAAAGAGAAAACAAAGAGAGAUUUCCAGAAUAUUUUUCUUCUCUAUUUUUACUGGUUUUUCUCCGUAUUGCUGGGAUUUUCUGAAUUGAGGUGUUGAAGCUACUGCUGGUUGUUAUUGUUGUUGUUGAUGUACCUUCACUGCCUUGUUGAUUUCCCAUCUUCCUCUUCUUUUCAAUACCAGGUACAUAUUCUAAAAACCAUGUGUUGAUGUAAGCUCAAAUUGAAAGUUGAAGUUUGAAAUAAAAUAGAAAAACAAGUUGUUGAUUAAUAUUUGUUGUUAUUUUCUGUUUUAUUAGUUUUGUCAAAUUAUAGUUAGUUCUAUAAUUUGUAAAAUAAAUUCGUCAUUUAGUCGGCUUGUGAGGGAACAUCUUUUGUACUAAUAUAGAGUAGUCUUUUAUGCAUGUAAUUAAUUAAGAAUCUUCUCUUUUAUUUUUAGAGACGAACUUCAUAUAGAGCAGCCUUUUAAGCAUGUAAUUGAUUAGGAAUUUUCUCUUUUAUUUUUAGAGACGAACUUAAAUAGAAAAAUGUAGUCACUCUAGGAUUACCCUUUAAAAUAAAUGAGACGUGCCUCGCCAAAUAAAAAUGCAUAAAUUGUGUGCCCCUCAUUAAAUGUAUAUAUUAAAAAUACUUAGACUUCGGGAUUAGCCGUUUUAGCAAUUUUCACGGCCUUCCCCAAAAAUAAUAACGCGCUAGACUCUUUAGGCGCGUGUUUUAAUAACAUUACCUCCUUAAACUCGGGUGUAGACUGGUUGUGACGUGGUUAGAGACACGUUUUUACGAUGUUGCAAUUCUAUUAAAAAAUAACAAUAAAAGCGGUUUCAUGUUAAUAAAAGCACAUAAGUUAUAACAUGUAUAAAAAUCUGAUAUUUAGUAGGUGUACAUUUAUGUGACCCAAAUCCAAAUCUCAACAGAGUCGAAGUGUGUCAAUAAUUACGUGCACACUGGUUGUGACGUGGUUCGAGACACGUUUUUACGAUGUUGCAAUUCUAUUAAAAAAAUAACAAUAAAAGCGGUUUAAUAUUAAUAAAAGCACAUAAGUUAUAACAUGUAUAAAAAUCAGAUAUUUAGUCACUACAACAAUUUAAGCGACCAUGCUAGAACCACAGAAUCCGGGGUGCCUAACACUUUCCCUCGGGUCAACAAAAUUCCUUACUUAGAAUUUCUGGUUCGCAGACUUCAUUUGGAAAGUCGAAUAUUUUCCUCGAAUUGGGAUUCAAGAUAAACCGGUGACUUGGGACACCAAAGGCCAAACCUACCCCAAGUGUCGACUCUAAAAUAAAUAAAUAAUCUUAUUUCAUUAAUGUCACUUUAAUUGAAAAACUCCCUUGCGCAUCUAUCCCCCGGAGUAAGGUGCGCCAAAAGGAGGUGUGCUAGCUCUGGCGACUAUGCUGGGGAUACAAACCCAGAACUUCGGUUCAGGGUUCAGAAUUCGAGCUUAGAUAAAUUGUUGUAUUUUGUUAUAUCUGAUAUUUCUAUAUGAUUUAUGCUUAAUGUGCUUACCGCUUUGAUAUUUGGUGAAUUGUACAUAUGAACUGUGAUGAAACACAUCCUCCCUCUGAGUCUUCUAAUAGGUAGUUAUGUUGUGUUUGCCUACCAGCAUCACAAAAAUUUAUGUCUUGAGAUAAAUCCAAUUAUCCUUGCAGCUUCUAGUCAAGGAUGUAGUCACACAUGUUUAGGCGGGAGAGUCGUUGGCUAGCCAGUGUUGUUCUACUACUAGUGACGCCUGACGCUCCUCGGCUCGAGUCGUCCGCUCGGGUAGGCCAUGUCUAGAACAAUAAACCCAAGUUUAACUUUGUAUAAGAAAGAUUCAUGCCGGAUCCCUAGUAGGAACGCUUGUUUGCAUCAUGUUGCAUUUGACUUAGGGGACCCAACGCAGGGGUUGGGUACAUCUAGGAUUAGCAACCUGAAAUGAGAAAGACCAUCCUGAUGCAUCCUACUUGUUUUUCAGUGCAUUUAUUUGUUCGGGCUUGCAUGUUGACUAGCUUCUGAAUCUUGGAAUGUUAGAAAAUUAAAAAAAAAAAGAAAAGAAAAAGAGAAAAAUAGCGAUUGGAGAGUUAAUAGAUUGUUUUGAAAAAACUAAUGCCCAAAUACUGCCAAAACUCUGCCGAAAUCUUAAAAAUAUGAAAAAAAUAUUUUAUUUUUAACAGUUUGUUUUACUAAAAAGCCAAGGGAAAUAGAGAAAAAAAUAAAGUAUUUCAUUUUGGGAAUUGUUUGCUGAAAAAGAACAAAGAAAAAAGAGUCCUUUAGUUUGUGAAAAAUAUGUUUUAUUGGUUGUUGAAAAGAAAAAAAAAGAUUCUUUAUUUUAAGUUCGAAAAAAUAGGUUGUUUUAUUGUUAUUAAAAAAUAAAGGAAAGAGAGGCAUAGGUUGUUUUAUUAAAAAAUGAAAAAAAAGUCUUAUUUUUUGGGGAAAAUACAUUGUUGGUUGAAAAUGAAAAAGGAAAAAGAGUCUUUUAUUUUAGUCUUGUUUUCGUAAAUGAAAAAGAGAAAAAUAGUUUGUUUUGACAUAGCAAAUAAAAAAAAAGUAUUUUACUUUUAGGCUAUUUUACUGUUUGUUGAAAAGAAAAAGGAAAAGAGUCUUGUUUUAAAAGUAGUUUUUUUAAUUUGCUUAUGAAAUGCCAAAAUAAAAAUGUAAAGAGUCUUGUUUGCAAAAAUAGUUCGGUUAAUUUGACCGAACUACGCGGGUCUGCUUCUCACCGGAUGUGAGAUACAUAGGCAAACCUUAUCGGUUCCGGCCCCAAUUUUCAAAAAACCCAAAAAAUAUUUUCAUUACUUCAUUCUUUAGAAAAAUCUUUCUUUAAGACCCCAAUUUUCAAAAAAUCCAACAAUAUUUUUUCUUUAGUUCCUUCUUUAAAAAUCUUUCCUUAGAAAAUUCGAAAACAAAAAGUAUUUUAUACACAAGAAAAAAAUGGAUUCCUUAUUUCUAAUCUCUUUCAUGAGAAAAAAGAAAAGUCAAUAAAAAUCAAAAUCAGAAACAUGAGUUUCCGUCAUUUUGAAGUAUUUUUUCAAAAAAUAAAAAAAAAAUCAGAAACAAAAAAAGACAAAAAUACUCUUUAGAUGUGGACUCAGAGUUAAGCUUGCCAAAGAGAAGGAGAAGAAUGAAGGCAUGCUACAACAAAUGCUCAAUCUGCUAAAAGUCCAACCCUCUAGCUCAUCCAAGCCUUAGGAGUCCUGUGUCUAGGUUCCAGUCUAGUCCCCCCCCCCCAGUGACAAGUUUAUUUGGUUCCUAGUCUGUUUUUUCUCUUUUGUGCUCAUGGUUGGAAGUUUCAUGUUUCUUUUUGUGGACUGCUUGGUGGGAACAUUUCUGAAUCAGUGAAUGAAACUUUUCUAGUUUUGUUAAUCUUGUUCAAUAUAGUUAUUUCUGAGUUGAUUUAUGAUUGAACAUGUGAUCACUUGGAGUUGCUCCAGCGGCCAUGAGUAGAUAUUAACCUCGUAAAUUCACAUCAUUUAUGUAACUUUUUGAUGAUGCCAAAAGGAGAAAGAUAUUGUGCUUAAAAUGUUUUUCUUAACUAAAGAUGUUUAUGACCUAAAUCUGACCUCCUUAAUGAUAAGUUAAAUGAUUUUCUAAGUGUUGAUUUCAGCUAAGUCUACAGUUCCUGAUUAUAAUAAGCACAGAGUUUGUCAUCAUCAAAAAGGGGGAAAUUAUUGGCCCAAGUUUCAGUUGAAGUUUUGAAGAUUGACAAAUGAAAUGAUAGAAGGACCUGGUCCAUAUUGUAUUACAGAGUCUGAAUCAACAAAGGCACAUGCAGAGCACGUGAGGAAGAUAAUGCACCAAAGAUCACGCAUCAUCAAUAUCUUCUGAUCAUAAUCGAAAAGAUUGCAUUNNNNNNNNNNNNNNNNNNNNNNNNNNNNNNNNNNNNNNNNNNNNNNNNGAUCAUAAUCGAAAAGAUUGCAUUGGGAUAAGGAGGACAGUCUCCUUAUGUGAAGAGAACUUAAUCCUAAGUUAGGAUAAGGGUUGGAGUUUGCAUUGAGAAAGGACUCGAAGUGUGAACGGAUAAGAAAUGGAGUCUUAAUCAAACUCUAACUGCUAACUCAAUAUAUGAUUGAGUUAUUUCUAUUUUCAGGCAACACACACAAGAAGAAGUAAAAGCAUAUUUGAGAGCUAAAGAGUGAAGUCUGAUUAGCAAGAAAUAUAUGCAAGUUACAAGUGUGGACGCAUAUAGCUACAUGAACCUAGAAAAGAACCAGUUCCAUCUGAUUGUUUUAUUUAUAGUUCAAUUGUAGUAGGUUUAAUAUUGUACCUGUCAGCUUAAUUAGAAGCAAUUGUAUUAGGUACGUUGUGUCAUCACGUUACAGUUAACUUGAUAGUGUCGCAGCAGCUAAGGCUGUCUGCCAUACUAGGAUUAGAGUUUAAUCCUUAGGUUUACAAGAGUUUUAUAAAUGUUGUCUUUGGCUCAUUGAUUUUAGUGGAGUUUGGGAAACUCCUACUGAGUAGUAGGUCGUGGUUUUUUCACCUUUUGAGCCAGGUGUUUUUCACGUAAAAAUAUCUAUGCAUUUUACUUUCAGUUUUUAUUAUUCCGCAAACUGCAGUAGUUUAGAAGAACCAGGUUCUCCUAAUGCGAAAAUUAGGUACGUUUGGCUCAUUGAUUUUAGUGGAGUUUGGGAAACUCCUACUGAGUAGUAGGUCGUGGUUUUUUCACCUUUUGAGCCAGGUGUUUUCCACGUAAAAAUAGUUGUGCACUAUAUUCAGUUUUUAUAUUUCCAAAUGCAAUAGUUAGAACACUUAGAAGAACAUGGUUCAUCUAACACGAAAAUUAGGUACCACACAAAUCAUCACCCCCCCUCUUGUGUGGUAUUGACAUUUAUUUACAUCAGAAAAUCUGAUGGUUCCCUUAGUUCUGUUGGGUGAUUUUGGGCUUAGGGUCGUGUUCGGAUUGUAUUUUGGAGGUCCAUUUCUAAUUUAGGCUUGAAAUGUCGAAAGUCGAAUUUUAAAGUUUUCGGUUUAGUAGUGAGAUUUUGAUCUGAGGGUUGGAAUAGACUUUCAGAAGUUGGAAUAGCUCCAUGGUGUUGAAUGUGACGUGUGUGAAAAUUUUCAUGUCAUUCGGACGAGGUUUGAUAGACUUUUUGAUCGAACGCGUAUUUUUAGAAUUUUGAAUUUUUUAGACUUGAAUUCGUGGUUGAUUCAUCGUUUUCGAUGUUGUUUUAGAUAUUUUAAGGAUUGGUAUAGGUUUGGACAGCGGUAUUAGACUUGUUGGCGCCUUUGGUUGAGGUCCCGGGGGCCUUGGGAUGAUAUCAGAUGGUUGACAGAAGGAUUUUGGAGUUUGGAGUUGCAGCUUCAGCUGCUGGUUUUCUGUAAUAACAGCACCUGCGAGUGUGGGACCGCAGGUGCGGUGCCGUAGAAGUGGAUAUGUGGCCGCAGAAGGGAAAUUUUCCCAGAGCUCAAGGAUUCACAGGUGUGACUGGGUUUUCACAAAUGCGGUGAUGCAGAUGCGGACCCAGCUCGUUAAGUGACUUUUCGCACCUGCGAUGCAUUCUUCCACAGGAGUGGGACCGCAGGUGCUCUCUCUUGACCACAAAUGCGGUAAUCGCUGGGCAGAAACAUAUAAAUACUUGCCUUCGUGAAAUUUAGUUGUUUUUAACCUCUUUGCAGGCGGGAAGAAGCUUGGAGAGCAAUUUUCAAGAGGGAUUUUAAAGGAGUUCAUUGGAGUAAGGUCUUUGGUCCCUAAACUCGUUACUGGAAUGGUUUUUAUCAAUCUAAGCAUGAUAAAUUAAGGAAAAUCCGUGGUAAUUUGGGAGUUAGGGCUUGACUAAUUAGAGGCUUUUGAGUAAUGAUUUGAGGGACCAAUUGAGGUCCGAUUUUGGUACUUUUUGUCUGACUGAACUCGUGAGAGUGCGAGGAUUCUGGAAAUACUCCCUCUUUUCAUAUUGUUCGAGGUACUUUCCUUUUUAGUUUGUUCCAAAAUAAAUGACAAAUUUCUAAAUUUUGAAAUAAUUCAACUUUAAACUCUUCAUUUUACCUAUUUUGCCCUUAGUGAGAAGCUUUUAUAGCCACACAAAUGAUAUGGCCCCACAAACCUUUUACCCCUUGAUCUUUUAAGACCAUAAGUUUUAAAAGUUGCCUUUUUUUUACUUAAACUUCGUGCCGAAUCAAACUACCUCAAACAAUAUAAAAUGGAGGGAUUAUGAAUUUUACCUGAUUCCGAGACGUGGGCCCGAGGGGCGUUUCGGUCAUUUUAUUUAAUUUCGUAUAUUAGCUUAGAAUUUAAUUGUAGAAUCGGUUACUUGAAGUGUUAUUUACAUUAUGCAAUUGAAUUUAAUAGAUUUAGGCCAUUUGAAGUCGGGUACUCGUGGCAAAGAUGUGAUUUCAGGAUGAUUUUGAGCUGGUUCGAGGUAAGUGGCUUGCCUAACCUUGUGUGGGGGACCUUCCCCUUAGGAUUUUGGUAUUAUUGAUAAUUGAAAUGCCUUGUACAUAAGGUGACGAGUGCAUACUUGUUCUAAUUAUUGGAAAUUCAAUUUUUAUUAAUUAAUUACUAGUAUGUUUCCUUUCCUGUUUUUAUUACUUGCACUAUCAAAGCAUGUUGUUAGCUUAGAAAAGCAUGUCAAAGUGAUUUAAUUGCUUUAUUUGUCAAACUGCUUUACCUGAAUUCUGUGCAGCAUGCUAGGCUAGAAUUACUUGUUUGCAUUGAUAUGAAAUUUAACAUAUCUGAAUAUUUUCCUGUUAUUGCUGUGUAUUUACAUCGGGAAUACGGAUUUGGGAUUCCGGUAACUCUCCCUUGUCUUUUUAUAUUUGGUACCGCGGAUGUUGGAAUCCGCUAGAUCUCCCUGCACAGUUAUAUGGAACUACGGGACUGUACCGGGUAGAUUUCUCCAGUACCGAGUAUUUAUAUUUGGGACUACGGAACGAAAUUUUGGUAGAUCCCCGCGCACUAUGAGUUGGACUACAGGACGGUAUCCCAGGGGACCUAUUGGAUAUGUAUAUGUGGGACUACAGGAUGGUAUCCUGGGGGAUCCCCGAUUGUUAUUAUUUGGUGUUGAGUUGUAUUUCCUUCUGUGUUUACGUUGCCUCUGUAAUAGUUGUUGUUGUCCUUUAUACCCGUGUUACUUUUACUGUUGUACUUAUUUAUUCUGUUUUGUUCAACACUGUCAAACUUUAUAUUUUAUUUAACCUCAGUAGUACCCUGACAUUCCUCGUCAUUACCGGAUUGAGGUUAGGCUUGGCACUUACUGAGUACUACUGUGGUGUACUCAUGCCCUUUCUGCGCAUGUUUUUCAUGUGCAUAUCCAGGUACUUUGACACAGUCCUAUCACCCUUGAGGCAAGGCGACUGCUCCAUAGACUUCGAGGUAUAUUUAUCGCAUCCGCCGACCGAGGAGUCCCUUUCCAUUCUAUCUUGUAGUGAUAGCCCUUCUAUCUUUCUGUUGAUGUAGACAUUCCGAAAUUAGAGCACUUUUAUUAUUCAUAGGUUGUGAUUUAUGUGUUUC
Molecule: long non-coding RNA, 7656 nt
Filed under: Nicotiana benthamiana
Lineage: Eukaryota; Viridiplantae; Streptophyta; Magnoliopsida; Solanales; Solanaceae
Description: long non-coding RNA (NBEN_LNC030602)
Source: RNAcentral